CCUACGGGUGGCAGCAGUGAGGAAUAUUGGUCAAUGGACGAGAGUCUGAACCAGCCAAGUAGCGUGAAGGAUGACUGCCCUAUGGGUUGUAAACUUCUUUUAUAUGGGAAUAAAAUGUUCCACGUGUGGGAUUUUGUAUGUACCAUAUGAAUAAGGAUCGGCUAACUCCGUGCCAGCAGCCGCGGUAAUACGGAGGAUCCGAGCGUUGUCCGGAUUUAUUGGGUUUAAAGGGAGCGUAGGUGGAUUGUUAAGUCAGUUGUGAAAGUUUGCGGCUCAACCGUAAAAUUGCAGUUCAAACUGGCAGUCUUGAGUACAGUAGAGGUAGGCGGAAUUCGUGGUGUAGCGGUGGAAUGCUUAGAUAUCACGAAGAACUCCGAUUGCGAAGGCAGCUCACUGGACUGCAACUGACACUGAGGCUCGAAAGUGUGGGUAUCAAACAGGAUUAGAUACCCCUGUAGUC
RNAcentral lists this ribosomal RNA (460 nucleotides) under uncultured bacterium. RNAcentral's name for it is "partial 16S ribosomal RNA". It matches the Rfam family "Bacterial small subunit ribosomal RNA", at positions 338 to 795 of the family's 1533-position model. The record is from RNAcentral.